UACGAAGGGGGCUAGCGUUGUUCGGAAUUACUGGGCGUAAAGCGCACGUAGGCGGAUAUUUAAGUCAGGGGUGAAAUCCCGCAGCUCAACUGCGGAACUGCCUUUGAUACUGGGUAUCUUGAGUAUGGAAGAGGUAAGUGGAAUUGCGAGUGUAGAGGUGAAAUUCGUAGAUAUUCGCAGGAACACCAGUGGCGAAGGCGGCUUACUGGUCCAUUACUGACGCUGAGGUGCGAAAGCGUGGGGAGCAAACAGGAUUAGAAACCCCCGUAGUCC
This 273-nucleotide ribosomal RNA is filed under the name uncultured bacterium. Its description in RNAcentral is "partial 16S ribosomal RNA". It matches the Rfam family "Bacterial small subunit ribosomal RNA", at positions 524 to 796 of the family's 1533-position model. The record is from RNAcentral.